AUGGGGGGCCCUGGGGGAGGGGCAGGGGCGUCAUCCCAGGAGGAGCGAGGAGGGGGAACAGGCAGCACAGCGGGCAUGACGGACGAGGGGAGGGGAUGUGAAAGGACCCUCUGGGCCCUUCCGGAACAUGCCGGGCAAGCCCCUGGGCUGGGGCCGGCAUCCCACGGUCGGCGGGCAAGCGGCAGCGUCCGCAGGGAGCAGCGCCUCCCCUCCCACGCACCUGGUGGCUUGGCAGCGAGAGCUCCCCGGCCCCGCCUCGCCCAGCAGCCAGGCCAAGGCACCCUCCUCCCUGCUCCCGCCAGCAGAGCGGCCCGGCCGCCCCAUAACUCCACUGUGGCCAGCCUCAGCUUACUCGGGGAAAAGACCGCCAAUCGCUUCCGCGGGACAUUCCUCAACGACUGGAAUUCGUGUAAAACAAAACUAGGGCAAGUGCUGGCCCUUGUCGGACCCAGAAUGGUGGGUGACUGUCGACAACAUCAUGCCGUGAAGGCACGUGGAGCACCCGGCACCGGCGGCCCUGCUGGGCGACAGCGCCCAUGGCAGCCGCCUGAGAUGGCCCACCCCCACCUGAGCGCACCCUCUGCCUGCCACGCCCCACCACCAGGAACGCUGGGAGCCGCAGGGUGGAGCAACCCCCGGGAAGCCACCCAGGUGGAUGAACACCUUGUCUGUGGCCACGCCCCUGCCCUAGAUCCAGAUGGCCAGGUGCGCUCACGGUACAGGAACGGGGAAGGUGCAAGGGCAGGGACAGUCACCCACGGGGGGUGGGGGGGACCAUGCCUGCUCCCGCAGAACCCCGCCCUGGGAUGCCGGCACUUAGCUCCCUGCAAAUGUCACCCAGCAGGAGAGAGAGAUACAGAACCACGGCCGGCGGCCUUACCGUUCCACAGGGCCGGGGACAGCGUCUCACGGACAGUUUUAGGGUUGGUUUUAGGGUUCGGCAAGCGAGGAAAUGCAUUAAGGGCACUUGGAGCCGAUGGCCAUUUCCCGGGCAGACGCCUUGCAGAAACCGCGCGGGGGACGCCGGGCGUUGUGCUGGAACCAUCGGCCACGCUCCCGUCCACGUGCAGAGAUGUGGCUGUGGGUGUGCACACGCCGUCAGGUCUGAGACGGCCUGAGCAGCCGCCAAGGGCUCCCGUGCUGGGAGCUAGUCCUCAGUGGGGGGGUGAUGGGUCCUUUAAGAGGCGGGGCCUGUGGCUGGUGGUCACUGGCCCCGCCCCACGCCCCCAGCUUCCUGUCCUGCUCUAUCUCAGCUCCCCAGGGCAUUUGACACAGCUGCGGGGCCCUGGCCAGGGCCUGAACUUAGAGCCCUCUUGCUAA
This 1320-nucleotide long non-coding RNA is filed under the name Oryctolagus cuniculus (rabbit). RNAcentral's name for it is "lncRNA (ENSOCUG00000036056.1)". Lineage: Eukaryota; Metazoa; Chordata; Mammalia; Lagomorpha; Leporidae. The record is from RNAcentral.